RNAcentral lists this unclassified non-coding RNA (520 nucleotides) under Hevea brasiliensis (rubber tree). Lineage: Eukaryota; Viridiplantae; Streptophyta; Magnoliopsida; Malpighiales; Euphorbiaceae. The record is from RNAcentral.
GGUGUAUGCAUUUAUUGAGCUUUUGAAUCUUUUGGGUAUCUUAACAUGUGGGUGUGGUAGUUUGCUUUUUCUAACUUCUGUUUGGUUGACAAGAAAAAUAAGGAAAAUUAGUGGCAAUAAAAAUUUUAGUCUCAAAUAUUAAUUGGCGCAAAUGGAUAAGAGAUAACAAAACAAAGAUGGAAAAAAGGGUUCAACUAGGUUACACAAUUGUAUUUUUAGUUGGUCUUACCAAAUAAAGCUUCCAUUUGAUUGCAGAGAGACCACCUUCUCCCUCUUCCUCAUAGAAGUAUUGGUUAAAGUGCUAAUAAUUCAAUGACUUCAAUAUGUGAAUUUCUCUUGUUUAAAUACCUUGCCACUGAAUUCUUGCAUACUGGUAUGCUGAAAUGACCUACCCCAUUGUAAUUACAGACCAAACUUUUGCUUUGUUCAAUCACUGGACUAUUAUUCUCAAGUUGUGACCUGUAAAUUUUGUGCUGAUGUUUUCUCAUUCAUUGUAUGUAGUUUGCUCAUAGGAAGUGCA